GACGAACGCUGGCGGCGUGCUUAACACAUGCAAGUCGAGCGGUAAGGCCCUUUCGGGGGUACACGAGCGGCGAACGGGUGAGUAACACGUGGGUGACCUGCCCUCCACUCUGGGAUAAGCCCGGGAAACUGGGUCUAAUACAGGAGAGGACCAUUGGAUGCAUGUCUGGUGGGGGAAAGUUUUUUCGGUGGGGGAUGGGCCCGCGGCCUAUCAGCUUGUUGGUGGGGUGAUGGCCUACCAAGGCGGUGACGGGUAGCCGGCCUGAGAGGGCGACCGGCCACACUGGGACUGAGACACGGCCCAGACUCCUACGGGAGGCAGCAGUGGGGAAUAUUGCGCAAUGGGCGGAAGCCUGACGCAGCGACGCCGCGUGGGGGAUGACGGCCUUCGGGUUGUAAACCUCUUUCGCCAGGGACGAAGCUAACGUGACGGUACCUGGAGAAGGAGCACCGGCCAACUACGUGCCAGCCGCCGCCGUAA
This 480-nucleotide ribosomal RNA is filed under the name uncultured bacterium. RNAcentral's name for it is "partial 16S ribosomal RNA". It matches the Rfam family "Bacterial small subunit ribosomal RNA", at positions 28 to 523 of the family's 1533-position model. The record is from RNAcentral.